AGGGUCUUCAUGGCCCGACCUCCACCCUCUGUUGUUAAAACUACCUUGUUGCUUUGGCGGGACCGUCUCGGUCUCCGAGCGCACUAACCCUCGGGUUGGUGAGCGCCCGCCAGAGUCCAACCAAACUCUUGUAUUAAACCAGUCGUCUGAGUAUAAAAUUUUAAUUAAAUUAAAACUUUCAACAACGGAUCUCUUGGUUCUCGCAUCGAUGAAGAACGCAGCGAAAUGCGAUAAGUAAUGUGAAUUGCAGAAUUCAGUGAAUCAUCGAAUCUUUGAACGCACAUUGCGCCCCUUGGUAUUCCGAGGGGCAUGCCUGUUCGAGCGUCAUUACACCACUCAAGCAUCGCUUGGUAUUGGGAACGGUCCGUCGAAAGGCGGGCCUUCCUCGAAGACCUCGGCGGGGUUCAACCAACUUCGGGCGUAGUAGAGUUAAAUCGAACGUCUUAUAAGCUUGGUCGGAUCUCAUUGCCGUUAAACCUUUAAAUUUUCUAGGUUGACCUCGGAUCAGGUAGGGAUACCCGCUGAACUUAAGCAUAUCAAU
RNAcentral lists this ribosomal RNA (541 nucleotides) under uncultured fungus. RNAcentral's name for it is "eukaryotic LSU rRNA". The stretch from base 174 to 327 matches the Rfam family "5.8S ribosomal RNA". Lineage: Eukaryota; Fungi. The record is from RNAcentral.